Molecule: unclassified non-coding RNA, 312 nt
Filed under: Hevea brasiliensis (rubber tree)
Lineage: Eukaryota; Viridiplantae; Streptophyta; Magnoliopsida; Malpighiales; Euphorbiaceae
Source: RNAcentral
CAAUUGCCCAUUAACAUAUUCUUCGGUUUGCUCCAUUGCUAUAUUCAUGUAUCCAUCUAAACAGGCAAGGAUACCUCGAUAGUCAACACCAGAGUUCAAUUUGACAACAACAGGUCGUCCACGAAUAGACUUGAGAAAAUCUGCUGGAGUCUUGGUUGUUGAUCCUUUCUCUCCUGCUCCACUCAUUUUCAAUUACUUACUCUCAAAUAAUGAUUCUUUAUCAACGAUGAAAAGUUGCAGGACAGAGAAACUUAAAGAGACGAAGGAUUUAGUGAGGAGCUAGGGUUUUGAAUUCUUGUUUUUGUGUCUCGG